AGUAUAUCAUUGGGAGCACGUUUGAAUGCAUUCUUCUUUUGCGAAAAGUACUUUAAAAUUCGACCUUUCGCUAUUUAAAUAGUAAUCGCGCAUACUCAGAGCAUAACAACUUCGAUUCUUCCAUGGCCUUUCAAUCAAUUAGGAGCUUCUUGCUCUUCUUCAUCAUCAUGUUCUUCCUUCUUUUUUGUUUUUCUUUUCAUCCAUCCAAGUUUUCAGCCCCAUCCUUUGGACCAAAUUUUGUCAGUAUUUUUUAUAUCAGCAAAACAGGGCUUUCAGUUCGCUAUAAACAGAAUACAAUGAAUGAGAGGAAAUACACUUUAAUCUAAUUGUAGCAUUUGCCCGUAUGUUAUGCUAUAUUGGUCCGAGAAAGCAAUGGAAUCAGCUUGUCUGAGUAUAUAUUGGAUUCGAAAUCAAGCCUUGCUGAUGGCUCGAUCUUCUGCAAGCUGGAAGACUCGGAUGGAAUACAAAGAAUACUUUAGCACUUCAGAAUUAUGAUUGGGAUCCAUGAUAUUAAUGGUAGUUUGGGAACUGGGAUGCUAUAUUUUGGUUAGUAGUUAAUGGCCCUUACAAUUAUGGGAUCUACUAGUGGGCUCUUCUAGUCAUUUCUAGCAAUUCUGUGGCUGUUAAGAUCCUUUAUCCAAUAUUUUGGGGCUUGAUGACCCUUAGUUGCAGGAAUUGGAAGCUUAGUGCAUGCACAUCAGUCAUCAAGUUCAUAAGGUUUUAGAGAAUAAGCCCAUGGUAUUAACAAAGCUUUUGACCCAAAGCUAGUUCAGUAUGUUAUGUUAAAGCCCCAUUGCCUGUCUAAGUGGUUUCUGAAGUACUCGGUAGGCAUAGGUCUGGCUUUGGGAACCAAAAAAGGUAAUGCGAGAAUGACCUUGUUUUACGGCGUUGCUCCAUCAGAGAUACGACAUCGAAAAGGGAGUUUUGGAGAAACAUUUACUAAACUUGGAUGUAAGAUCAAGGAUGAUGUAAAGGUUACAGAGUGGAAGGCAUCUUUACAUAAAAGCAGCCAAUUUUUUCGGAUUCACGUAAGGAGACAGGUACUUUUAAUGAUCAGCUAUGCUUUUAUAUUUGUUUACACGUGAUGUUAAAGAGAAGUUUAUGGGGAAAAUUUAGACAAAUCCAGGAUCUAAGAGUUUGCAAAUUGAUAAAGACAUGAUGCCUUGCCAAACUAUUUGAUAUUUAUAAGUCUUUUCGGCAUUGAGUUUUGAGCAUACCAUAUUUAAAUUAGAAAUAUUUUCUGAUUGAGGGAUUUAAUAUCGUACUGCCACAUUCAUUUCACGUGAAGUUUAUAGAAGAAACAGAACAGAAGAACAUGAAAAUAUACAAAUCAAAAUCUUCUCACUGUUUUUUUUAUCUUUCAUUCUUGGGUUCUAUAAAGAAUAAACAAAGGUUUUAAGCAUCAAUUUUUUUAGAGAUAUAUAGACUGAAAAAUACUCAUAGUUAUAUGUUUCAGAAUUAAGGGAGGGACAAAUUCAGGAAUGGAAAAAAAAUAGUUAAAAUGUUUAAUGAUUCAUAUAAAGAAUGAAAAAUGUAAGUAUGAGAAGAGCAUGAGGAAGAAGAAAGGCUACCUUUGACAUGGUAAUCUACUACUGUCAUUUUGUAAUGGAUAAACAAAAAAACAAAAAAAAACAAAAAACGAUAUUUAACAUGAAAUCAUCUUUAUGUGUGUAUUACAGUUAAAAGUCUUAACUAUUUAAAUUUCUCGUCUUUUAUAUUGAUAGGAGUGAAUCGGAGUUUAUUCAGGACAUCAUUAAAUAGGUGGACUCAAUAAUGGUGAAUCGUACAUUUCUUAAUGUUGCAAAGUAUCCAGUAGGAGUAGGGUCUCGUGUACGAGACAGUUAUCAACAUUUAAGUAUGAGAAGGAACGAUAUUAUAUGCAUGGUAGGGAUAUUUGGAACCGUUGGAAUUGGCAAGACAACUGUUGCAAAAGAGAUCUAUAACAGGAUUUCUUAUCAAUUUGAAGAAAGUUGUUUCUUGAAAAACAAUAUUAGAGAAACUUCAAAAGUAGGAGGUCUGAUCCAGCUGCAAAAAACACUUCUUUAUGAGUUUUGGGAAUAAGUUUGGAUUUUCAUGAUAUUGACAGACGCAUCAAUGUGAUUAGGCAUAGACUUUGCUCUAAAAGGGUUCUCCUAAUUCUUGAUUAUGUGGAGAAUUGGUCGAACUAGAAACAUUACCUGGAGCUCUUGAUUGGUUUGGUUCAGGAACUAGAAUCAUCAUAACAACAAGAGAUCAACAUUUAUUAAAUAUCUUUAAAGUUGAUUCAAAAUACAAGUUGAAGAUUUUGGCUAACAAUGAAGCUCUUAAGCACUUUAGCUUGCAUGCUUUUGAGAAAGAUGAACCACUUGACGAAUAUCACGUGAUUAGACAUAGACUUAGCUCUAAAAGGGUUCUCCAAAUUCUUGAUGAUGUUGAUGAAUUGGUCGAACUAGAAACAUUACCUGGAGCUCUUGAUUGGUUUGGUUCAGGAACUAGAAUUAUCAUAACAACAAGAGAUCAACAUUUAUUAAAUAUCUCUAAAGUUGAUUCAAAAUACAAGUUGAAGAUUUUGGCUAACGAUGAAGCUCUUAAGCACUUUAGCUUGCAUGCUUUUGAGAAAGAUGAACCACUUGACCAAUAUCUUGUUGAACUCUCUAAACAAGUAAUGCAAUAUGCUCAAGGUCUUCCACUUGCUUUAACAGUGCUAGGUUCAACUCUAAAAGAUCAAAGCAUUCAUCAAUGGAAAAGUGUAUUGAAUAAAUAUAAACAAAUACCCAACAUAAAUAUUCAGAGUGUACUUUGAGCAAGUUAUGAUGGAUUGGAAGAUAAUGAGAAGGACAUGUUUCUUGAUAUUGCAUGUUUCUUCAAAUGAGAAACUUUGGAUGAUGACAUUAAAAUAUUAGACAAUUGUGGUUUCUCUCCUGAUUAUGGUAUUCAAAGGCCUAUAGACAAGUGUCUUAUCCUUGCUGAUGAGUGUAAUAAAUAUUUUUGGAUGCAUGACUUGCUACAAAAUAUGAGUCGAGAAAUUGCUACAAUGUAUUCUCUCCCGUACUAGGGUACCAACAAAAUCUAAGGCAUUAUAGUAGAAAUGCCCUUCAUCCUUUUCCCAAUGUUUGGGAUCCUUUGCGGGUACCGUUUUAUAGAAGUUGCGGAGCCAAUGUUGUAUACAAGCACUAAAGCAGAGAACAUAAAAGAAGAAAAAUGGAUUGAAUUAUUUUGGGAUUUUCAGUACUCUUAGAAUCCAAUCCGUAGCCUUAUACGAAAGGAAAGAGGGAUUCUUAAACUUGGGGCAUCAACUUCCAGAUCUGGUGCAGAAGGACUAUGAUGAUCCAAAGGACAAACGUUGAGUGCAUUUGAUUGAAAGAGACUUGACCGAGCUCGACGGAAUUGUUGGUGAGCUACUACAGCCAGGGGGCUAUCUGAAACUGUUUGAGUUGCGUCUUGCUCUUGUCUUGCAAUAACUCUUCGGUCUAAUUGGUAACUAAUUACAUUUUCCAAAUCACUUUAUUCUUUUUUGUCUUUGCCUUUAUUCCUCCCCCCCCCGGCCGCUUAAAAGCAGCUCUCUCCAUUUUUAGACCUUAAUUUGUUUUUUUCUGUGUUGUCUCUUUAGAUCUAAUUGGUCAACCUCACCUUAUCAUCAUUCGGCUACCAACUCUUUAGAUAAUACCAAAAUCAACUCAUCCUCACCUUAUUGUCAUUCAACUACCAACUCUCCGACUCAUGAGCCCGCUUCUUCAAAUGUCCCUUCUCCUCAUAAUUUGGUCUCAUCCUCAGGUUCAACUGCCUCCAUCACUCCUCUAUGUCACUCUCUAGAAAAUUCAAAAUUCAAUUCACCUACAUCUCAUCCUAUCUCUCCACGUAUUGCUCCCACUUCAAGUACUCAAUGCCCCUUAUCAUCUCCAGAUCUCUCUAUCUCUUCCUCAUCCACUACCAAGUCCUCUACUCCUAUUCGGUCACUACCCCCUCCUAGUCUUGACGUGGUGCUCUCACCCACUCCUCGAGCUCAUCCAAUGACCACACGCUCACAAGUUGGCACCGUUAAACUGAAACAAUUUUUUGAUGGGACUAUCAAGUACCCUCUUCCUAAGGCCCUGUUUACGGAGAAAUAGGAGGUUCCGAAUAAACCUACAUGCUAUACUAAGGUUGUAAAAUACAAAGAGUGGUGCCAUGCCAUGGAUCAAGAGUUCUUAGCACUCAUGAAAAAUGGCACUUGUACUCUUACUCCUCGACGUCCAGGUAUGAAUGUUGUGGGAAACAAGUGGGUGUUCCAGUCCAAACUCAACUCCGAUGGGAAUCUCAAUCAAUGUAAAGCUUGUCUUGUUGUUAAGGGCUAUAAUCAACAACCAGGUAUUGACUAUGCUGAUACCUUCAGUUAUGUAGUCAAACCUGCCACCAUUAGGGUAGUUCUCUCCCAUGCUGUCUCUCAUGGUUGGCCUCUUCGUCCAUGGCCUCUUACUACAUGGCCUCUUACUAAUUGAUGUGAACAAUGCCUUCCUACAUGGCCUCUUAUUAUUAUUGAAGAGGUGAUUUCAUACAAACAAAUGUCCCUUUAAUUCUUCAGAAGGGGCCUUGUCUAGGGCAAGAUUUAGCUAACUACAAUUAACAGCUCUGAAACUUUGAUUACUAUAAGCUUUGUGACUGUGUCAUGGGGUACCAAAUGGAUGAAGAACUAUCAGAAUUAUGGAACAAGUUCUCUCUUACAAAGGAGGAAAGGUAUGAGACAGUAAUAAAAGGCCAGGACAUAAAAGAUACUAUGGAUAGAGGAAACUUUGUGUAGUGGGGAAGAUUAUUGCUGAUAAAAAGAUUAAUAAAGAUGCCUUUAAGAACACAAUGCUCAAGGUGUGAAAAUCCUGUGCUAGAACAAAAAUAAUUGAAGUGGGAGAGAAUCUUUAUGUAUUUGAAUUUCAAUUUGAGGCAGACUUUGGUUGUUUGACAUGGAUCCGGUAUGCCUAAAAACAUUUGAUGGUUUUACUCCACCAACUGAAUUAUCAUUUACACAUAACUUUGUGUGUUCAGUUGCACAAUUUACCUCUAGGAUGUAUGAAUAAAGAAGUUGGAACCAAAAUUGGAUCUACUAUAGGUAAAGUUCUUGCGGUGGGGGUUGACUAUAAGUUCUUAUUGAGGUAGAUUUGAUGAAACCAUUGGCAAGAGGGAAAGUCAUGGAUUUAUUAGGCCAUAGAUGUUUUGUACAUUUCAAGUAUGAAAGACUUCCUAGAUUUUGUUUUACAUGUGCGGUCUUCAAGCAUGGUGUGCAAGGAUGUGCUGGAAAGACUAAGAAACAAGAAACAAGCAAAGAGUCUAGUAUUCAAUAGUAUGGAUCAUGGCUGAGGAUUGCGAGUUCAGCUACAAGUUCCAGUUAUGGUAGCAAUUCAGGUCAACUAAUUGCAAGCCUACCUAAGGAUGGAAAGUCUGAAAAGUAGAAAAAACUUUAUAACAAUCUCAAUCAAAUUGUCGACUAGUAAAAGGAAGGGAGCAGCUGAUGCAAAAUUUGACAAAAGAAGACACAAAGGAAAGCAUUGUAAGAAAUCUGGAUAUCAAUGGCUUACCUAUGCUUAUUCUACAAGCAGAUCCCAAGGAGAAGGUAAUGGACAAUUCAAAGGACUUAUUGGUCAGGUCAGAUAUGCACUCUACUUCAUCCAUGGUGAUUAAAAGUAAGAUUGACAAGCCUGAUAUCAUGCAGGAUUAGAAUAACAAUUGUGCACAACAAGAAAUUCCUGAGUCAUGUGUCAAUAAAUGGAAGAGAAGGGAAAGGGGACAACAUAGCAAUGAACUGAUGCAGCCUACACAGCAAUGAAUUGAUGCAGCCUUCUCAUUGUGCUACAAGGAAGAGGAAGCUAACUGAAGAAGAUAACAUUCUCUUUGCUUUGCAAAAUAAUCAACAUGCUAGGGGCAAGAAAUAGGUCAUGAAAUUUGAAUUAGAUAUAUUGGUGGAGGUUGUUAAUCAACCUCACUGGGAGAAAUGAGGCUUUUAAGCAAGAACUACCGAAGGCUUGGCAACCCUUGGACAGCUAGAGACCUUAUUCUUCUGGUUAAGGUCCAUAAGCCUAGCAUUUUGUUUCUCCUGGAAACUAAAAUGCAUGAGAAGUAGUUAGAAGUUCUAAAACUAAGGUUGGAUUUUAAUAAUUUAUUUUCAUUUGAAGGUGUUGGAAAAAGUGAAGGGAUGGCUUUGUUAUGGGUAGAGAAUGUCCAGCUCAUGUCCAGCACCUACUCACAUAGACAUAUCAAUACCUGGGUUGAUUAAACCGAUUCAUUGUGGAUGCUAACAUACACUUUAGGCCUUUUCUCUCCUUUAGUUGCAGGUCACAAAGUGAGCAGGUGUAUGAAACACGUCCUUAACAAUUGGCAGGAGAAUUGUGAGUUCACGAAGAUCGAUCCCUUACGAAGCAAUUGGGUGAGAAGAUUUUUGGGAUGCCAUAAUGAGAGCAAUGGACAGCGAGAUGAAGGUAAUAGGAGGUAGAGAAUGCAACGAGAAAAAGGCAACCUAGAGAAGAAGAAAAAUAAUCAACAGAGUUAGAGUGGAAGGGAGCACUCAUUAAAGAAGGACUAUACAACAUGAUAGGGCACAACUCAAAGGGAGAAACGUGUUGAAAAUGAAAAGGAGGGAGUUGAAGAGGUGUGAAAGUGGAACAACAUCUUUGACACAAGGAAUCUGAAGGGGCAAAAGCCCAAAUCAUGAAGCAGCACCGUAAGUACAAGUCCCAUCACGCUACGUGUGAUGAGACUUCACAAGAUAACUGGAAGGCCUUAAAUUUUCCUACCAAGCCCGAUAGGCCUGUCAAGCAACCGAAAUGCCAAGCCCAAACUACUGAGCAUUGGACAAACUCCUUGUGAAGGUUACAAACCAUGAUAAUAACCUCUGUCGUACAUGGGACAAAGGACCCAACAAACUCUUAAUGGCUAAGGGAUCCGAACCACUUCUCAAAGAUAAGAUGAAUUGCAGAUGACGAGGGAAACUCAAAUAUUAAACCCCAACUUGAUUUCAAAGGAAAGAUCAGAUGGUUAUAAGAUUCAAAAGGGGAUCCUUCUAUUUUAUUAAUAUCCAACAAUGGUCAUUUCGAAAAACUUUGCUCCUCUAUUCUAUAAGAGAUAUCACCCAACUCGUCUUACUCAUCAAAGGCAUUUCUUUACACUCUAGGCCUUUUCUCUCAGUUGAUUGCAGUUCAUAGAGUGAGCAAGUGUGUGAAACAUGCCCUUAACAUUGGUCUUGUAGAUGGUAACAUAGUUCUUAACGUCCAUAAAGACGAAGUGCAUGCGGAUUCAUAUAGACUUUGUUUACAUAUAUGCCAUGUGAGGUUGGGAGAAAAUCAAGAUUUACGCAGCUACAUUAGCCCUUCAAUUAUGACAAACAGCCCAAGAAAUUUUAAUCCAGAGAAACUUUAGUGCGCUUACCUCGGUUGGGGUCCUAUAUUUGUACAAGAAGCUUAGGAAACCACGUCAGUCCUGUGGCCAAAGUGACUUUCUGGUAAGAAAUUACAAAGUAUUUGUUUUGAUUCAAAUAUAUCCACAUCUUUCUCUAUAUCUUUCUCCAACUAAUGCAUUCGAUAUUUCAAACUAUUUUCUCAAGAAUUUGAUGGAUGCUCUGUACAUAAUUUAUGCUGCCCUCCAAGAGUGAUUGGGUUAGCCCAUUACAAUAAUUGGGUGGGACUUAAUGUUCUAUGUGCUUGUUUUCUUGUGAUUGAGCAUUCGGCUAUUAUUGGUGACAAUCUGGAUUCCCAACUUCCGAACUACCACUAGAGGACCAAUAGAUCUCCAUAAAGACUGGGCUUGGCCCACAAUCAUGAAGGUCCACCAACUGGAAGGCAGAGGCCCACGAAACAAUAACUAAAGGCCAACAUCCACUAUUAUUUUGUCAUGGAGUAAUACUAUACACCACACUACUAUUCCACUUUUAUCCCACUAUGUAAGAUGUGACAUAUUUAUCACCAUUGAUCAUCCAUUGGAUGAUUAUCUAAUGGUAAUAAAUGUGCACAUCUUGUAUAUUGGGAUGAAAGUGAGAUGGCAGUACGGUGUAUAGAAUUUUCAUUUCCCAUGCCUUUACUUAUAUUCCGUGUGUUUAUAUUUUGAUUGGUUGUUGUGGGAUGAACUUGUGGAUGUUCUAAUAUACCUUCUUCAUGAUUCCCCAUGUUGGAAAAUAAUGUUGGAAUUAUAAUUCAUACUAAUACCAAUCAAUCCAGAAAAAAGGCUUCGGAUCAAUAAUACUCGUAACCUCUUAAUUUUUUGAAUACUUUUGUACAAGUAUGUUUGUGGUUCAAAUUUGUCCAGUAUCAAUGGGGAUGCUUCAUCUCUAAAGACUUUUAGUACGAAUGAGUUCAUCCCCAGGAAACUUACUUGUGGGGGUUGGGAUAUAUGAUUUGUGGAAUAACCAUAUACCACCAAUACCAAUGGCAAAGAUUUUGUUAAAUCAAUAAGGAUGUCAUGGAGGUAGUAUUGGAUUUCUUUUCUUGGGUUGCUCUUCCCAUGAAUUUUUCGGCCUCAUACUUGGUGUUAAUCCCGAAGGUGGAGGCACCUAAAAGUUAUGAUAAGUUUCGACCGAUCAAUCUGUGCUCUGUUUUCUAUAAAGUUUGCUCUAAAAUUCUGGUUAGUCACUUUUCUCCUCUUCUCCUAGGCAUUAUUUCCCCAGAACAAUGUGAUUUUAUCCCAAGAAGAAGCAUUUUUUAUAAUAUCACUCUCACUCAAGAACUUGUGCCUAUUCUUCACAAGUCGGUUCGGGGUGGGAAUAUAAUUCUCAAGCUCGAUA
Long non-coding RNA from Carya illinoinensis, 8716 nucleotides. RefSeq lists it as uncharacterized. The transcript has 5 exons. NCBI's taxonomy places the organism in Eukaryota, Viridiplantae, Streptophyta, Magnoliopsida, Fagales, Juglandaceae. The record is from RefSeq and is a predicted model, not a curated record.